Non-coding RNA from Parasteatoda tepidariorum (common house spider), 811 nucleotides. The record is from RefSeq and is a predicted model, not a curated record. NCBI's taxonomy places the organism in Eukaryota, Metazoa, Arthropoda, Arachnida, Araneae, Theridiidae.
CCAAACGAUUUUUGAAAGUUGGUAAGAUUAGCUUCUGUUUCUAACGAUGCAGUAAAUAUUCAUUUUUCGAUGCUUUUAUAAGCAGUGACCCGUAAUUCAAAAUAAAUGAAUAAUAAUAAUAAUAAUAUUUUUCUGUUAGUUUUGUUUAGUUAAAGUCAAAGUAUGAAAUAAAAAUAAACAGGUUUCUUAUUGUAAUACCAUUUCAAUUCUUUCAACUCAACACCAAACGAUUUAUGUCAGCACCAGGAGAUUAGCUUCUGUCUCUAACGAUGUAGUAAUACCCAAUUCUCUGUGUUAUCAUAAGCGGUGAACGAUUCAUCUCUUUAAAAGGAAACCACCAGAAAAGUCUCAAAAAUUUCUCUCUGCCCUGUCGACCUUUGUAUCUUGUUUCCCUCAUGUUCUAAGAACAAGACCUACAUACCAACAAAACAAGUGGGGAGUCGAACAUUUAGAGGAAAACCACGUGUUAAUGUGCGAAGAGAAAAACUAUGUAUAUUUCGCGACGAUUUGAUUGUUCUUUAGCUGGAAGAAAUGGAAAAGGAAGAAUCGCUGCUACUUAAACGGUAACCUUGAACUUUUCAAGAAAAGCAUUUGCUGCCAGAGACUGUAAGGAACAUCUGCUCAAAUAAAAUAAAUCAAGCUUUAAAUUUUGAUAUGAGAAGAUUAAAAAGACAUCGAGUUCGAUAGGAUAGAUUGUUAAACGAAAAAUCGAAGUAUGUAACAAUACAUUUUACCAAAUCAGCUGUUAUAACAAUUUCAGGAAACUGUAAUAACAUGUCGAAUUAAAUGCAUAUUGAAUGUAACAAACUGA